Molecule: long non-coding RNA, 618 nt
Filed under: Physcomitrium patens
Lineage: Eukaryota; Viridiplantae; Streptophyta; Bryopsida; Funariales; Funariaceae
Description: long non-coding RNA (PPAT_LNC004792)
Source: RNAcentral
AGAGUCACUUCACCUCUAUUAUGAACAUCUCCUUGAUUCAAGUCCUACUUUGCUCUAACGGCUCUUCGCCUUCCUGGCCACUGCAUCAGGAUGUUGAGGCAGCACAUUCCUGACUUGUGUGAUGAUCUGUCAAACAAAUCCAUCGCAUUCUGCGCUGGGUAAUACUGACACAGCCGGAGACAUAAGCUUGUCUAGAUACAGAUUCUGCACCUCUUGACCUUGAUACGUGAUUCGUGCUGAUGUAGGAAGUUUGAUUGGCUCAUUUGUGUCUGCAUUGAUCUCUUCAGGUACUCCUUCAGAUGCUUUUGGAGUUAUUUUUAGUGGUCCCUCUGCAAUGUAGACUUGACUAUCAGAGUAUAGUCUUUCAAACAGGCAAGUACGUACUACCAACUUGGAAGUCCUCUUUCACAAUCAAACUAAAGCAGAGUUUUUUGGUAACAGAACAGCUUUUGAAAAUUAGGUUAUGGAUCGUUAGACAAAGCGACAUUCACCCACAGUAGAAAAAAUAAAAAUAAAAAUAAAACAGAAGCACCACCAUUUUACAAACUUCAGCACAACUGGAACAACUACUUGAAAGUCCAGCCAACCUUUGAACAAGAGGGACGGAGUGACCUCCAC